Molecule: ribosomal RNA, 482 nt
Filed under: uncultured bacterium
Lineage: Bacteria
Description: partial 16S ribosomal RNA
Rfam family: Bacterial small subunit ribosomal RNA
Source: RNAcentral
GACGAACGCUGGCGGCGUGCUUAACACAUGCAAGUCGAACGCUGAAGCUCAGCUUGCUGGGUGGAUGAGUGGCGAACGGGUGAGUAACACGUGAGUAACCUGCCCUCUUCUUUGGGAUAACGCCCGGAAACGGGUGCUAAUACUGGAUAUUCACUGAUUCUCGCAUGGGGGUUGGUGGAAAGGUUUGUUCUGGUGGGGGAUGGGCUCGCGGCCUAUCAGCUUGUUGGUGGGGUGAUGGCCUACCAAGGCUUUGACGGGUAGCCGGCCUGAGAGGGUGACCGGUCACAUUGGGACUGGGAUACGGCCCAGACUCCUACGGGAGGCAGCAGUGGGGAAUAUUGCACAAUGGGCGAAAGCCUGAUGCAGCGGCGCCGCGUGAGGGAUGGAGGCCUUCGGGUUGUAAACCUCUUUCGCUCAUGGUCAAGCCGCAGCUUUGGGUUGUGGUGAGGGUAGUGUGUAAAGAAGCGCCGGCUAACUACGUG